This 483-nucleotide ribosomal RNA is filed under the name uncultured bacterium. RNAcentral describes it as "bacterial SSU rRNA". It matches the Rfam family "Bacterial small subunit ribosomal RNA", at positions 30 to 507 of the family's 1533-position model. The record is from RNAcentral.
AUUGAACGCUGGCGGCAUGCUUUACACAUGCAAGUCGAACGGCAGCACGGGCUUCGGCCUGGUGGCGAGUGGCGAACGGGUGAGUAAUGCAUCGGAACGUACCGUGUAAUGGGGGAUAACGUAGCGAAAGUUACGCUAAUACCGCAUACGAUCUAUGGAUGAAACGGGGGAUCGCAAGACCUCGCGCGAUUGGAGCGGCCGAUAUCAGAUUAGGUAGUUGGUGGGGUAAAGGCCCACCAAGCCAACGAUCUGUAGCUGGUCUGAGAGGACGACCAGCCACACUGGAACUGAGACACGGUCCAGACUCCUACGGGAGGCAGCAGUGGGGAAUUUUGGACAAUGGGCGCAAGCCUGAUCCAGCCAUGCCGCGUGAGUGAAGAAGGCCUUCGGGUUGUAAAGCUCUUUCGGCCGGGAAGAAAUCGCAUGGGUCAAUACCCUGUGUGGAUGACGGUACCGGAAUAAGAAGCACCGGCUAACUACGUG